Molecule: ribosomal RNA, 760 nt
Filed under: uncultured Bacillus sp.
Lineage: Bacteria; Bacillati; Bacillota; Bacilli; Caryophanales; Bacillaceae
Description: bacterial SSU rRNA
Rfam family: Bacterial small subunit ribosomal RNA
Source: RNAcentral
CGAACGCUGGCGGCGUGCUAAUACAUGCAAGUCGGGCGGACCGACGGGAGCUUGCUCCCUUAGGUCAGCGGCGGACGGGUGAGUAACACGUGGGUAACCUGCCUGUAAGACUGGGAUAACUCCGGGAAACCGGGGCUAAUACCGGAUGCUUGAUUGAACCGCAUGGUUCCAAUCAUAAAAGGUGGCUUUCAGCUACCACUUACUGAUGGACCCGCGGCGCAUUAGCUAGUUGGUGAGGUAACGGCUCACCAAGGCGACGAUGCGUAGCCGACCUGAGAGGGUGAUCGGCCACACUGGGACUGAGACACGGCCCAGACUCCUACGGGAGGCAGCAGUAGGGAAUCUUCCGCAAUGGACGAAAGUCUGACGGAGCAACGCCGCGUGAGUGAUGAAGGUUUUCGGAUCGUAAAACUCUGUUGUUAGGGAAGAACAAGUACCGUUCGAAUAGGGCGGCACCUUGACGGUACCUAACCAGAAAGCCACGGCUAACUACGUGCCAGCAGCCGCGGUAAUACGUAGGUGGCAAGCGUUGUCCGGAAUUAUUGGGCGUAAAGCGCGCGCAGGCGGUUUCUUAAGUCUGAUGUGAAAGCCCCCGGCUCAACCGGGGAGGGUCAUUGGAAACUGGGGAACUUGAGUGCAGAAGAGGAGAGUGGAAUUCCACGUGUAGCGGUGAAAUGCGUAGAGAUGUGGAGGAACACCAGUGGCGAAGGCGACUCUCUGGUCUGUAACUGAACGCUGAGGCGCGAAAGCGUGGGGAGCG